Molecule: transfer RNA, 100 nt
Filed under: Nitrososphaerota archaeon
Lineage: Archaea; Thermoproteati; Nitrososphaerota
Description: tRNA-Phe
Rfam family: tRNA
About the family: Transfer RNA (tRNA) molecules are approximately 80 nucleotides in length. Their secondary structure includes four short double-helical elements and three loops (D, anti-codon, and T loops). Further hydrogen bonds mediate the characteristic L-shaped molecular structure. tRNAs have two regions of fundamental functional importance: the anti-codon, which is responsible for specific mRNA codon recognition, and the 3' end, to which the tRNAs corresponding amino acid is attached (by aminoacyl-tRNA synthetases). tRNAs cope with the degeneracy of the genetic code in two manners: having more than one tRNA (with a specific anti-codon) for a particular amino acid; and 'wobble' base-pairing, i.e. permitting non-standard base-pairing at the 3rd anti-codon position.
Source: RNAcentral
GCCGCGGUAGCUCAGCCUGGCUAGAGUUUGACACUCUUGGGCUAUGGAGAGCAUCCGGCUGAAGACCGGAGUGUCGUCGGCUCAAAUCCGACCCGCGGCA